CGUAAGGCGCCGAAUGAGUCAUUAAAAAAUUAACAUCAUCCGAUCCCUAGUCGGCAUAGUUUAUGGUUAAGGCUACGACGGUAUCUGAUCGUCUUCGAUCCCCUAACUUUCGUUCUUGAUUAAUGAAAACAUCCUUGGCAAAUGCUUUCGCAGUAGUUAGUCUUCAAUAAAUCCAAGAAUUUCACCUCUGACAAUUGAAUACUAAUGCCCCCAACUAUCCCUAUUAAUCAUUACAUCGAUCCUAGAAACCAACAAAAUAGAAUCGGAUGUCCUAUUUCAUUAUUCCAUGCUAAUGUAUUCAAGCGUGAGCCUGCUUUAAACACUCUAAUUUUUUCAAGGUAACAGUCCUAAUUCCCCGUAACACCAAAUUAAUGGCAUUACGGUUCUUUAGAAGGUGAGAAAUCAAUGAUAACAGUGCAUACCAACGGCAUGACCGAAAUAUUGAUCCCGAAAUUCAACUACGAGCUUUUUAACUGCAACAACUUUAAUAUACGCUAUUGGAGCUGGAAUUACCGCGGCUGCUGGCACCAGACUUGCCCUCCAAUUGUUCCUCGUUAAGAGAUUUAAAUUGUACUCAUUCCAAUUACAAGAUCCAAAAGAACCCUGUAUUGUUAUUUAUUGUCACUACCUCCCCGUGUCGGGAUUGGGUAAUUUGCGCGCCUGCUGCCUUCCUUGGAUGUGGUAGCCGUUUCUCAGGCUCCCUCUCCGGUGUCGUGCC
RNAcentral lists this ribosomal RNA (718 nucleotides) under uncultured Glomus. RNAcentral describes it as "partial 18S ribosomal RNA". The record is from RNAcentral. Lineage: Eukaryota; Fungi; Glomeromycota; Glomeromycetes; Glomerales; Glomeraceae.